This 1987-nucleotide long non-coding RNA is filed under the name Homo sapiens (human). RNAcentral's name for it is "HSALNT0351634". The record is from RNAcentral. Lineage: Eukaryota; Metazoa; Chordata; Mammalia; Primates; Hominidae.
GGAGACCAUGUCCUUCAAGAAUUGAUAGGAAAUAGAGGAUGAUUUGACAAAAGAAGCAGUAUUUAAGAGGUUAUGGACAAGUUGUAUGGCAGACCUUUAGGCACAGAAUCAGAUAAGACUGAAAGCCAUCAGGAAAUCUACAAAUACAUCAUUUCAAUAUGUAAUUUCGGAACACAGAUUUAUUUUAUUUAUUUAUUUAUUUAUUAUUUUUUGGUCACUCGGUCACCCAGGGUGGAGUGCAGUGGUUCGAUCUCUCCUCACUGCAACCUCUGCCUCCCGGGUUCAAGGGAUUCUCCUGCCUCAGUCUCCCGAGUAGCUGGGAUUACAGAUGCACACCUAUCUGCCUGGCAAAUUUUCUUAUUUUUAGUAGAGACGGGGUUUCACCAUGUUGGCCAGGCUGGUCUCCAACUCCUGAACUCAGGUGAUCCACCCGCCUCAGCCUCCCAAAGUGCUGAGAUUACAGGCGUGAGCCACCACGCCUGGCCAGAUUUAUUAUUACUGUGCUGCAAAUAAUUUUUACAAUUUAUAUACAACAGCAAUAAAAUAUUUAAAAAUAGGUUUUAUGUAUGAAGUUCACUGAUAUCUCUACAUUUCAUUUGUCACUACAAAUGUAAUAAUGUGUUUGACCUAAAGUCCCGUGACAGGGCGUGGUGGCUCAUGCCAGUAAUCCCAGCACUUUGGGUGGCUGAGGUGGGAGGAUUGCUUGAGCUGGAGGGGUCGAGGCUGCAGUGUGCCACGAUCGAGACACUGCACUCCAGCAUGGGCAACAAAGCGAGUCCUUGAUUCAAAAAAACGCAAAACCAACCAACCAACCAAAAUCCUCAAUUAACUCUUCCUAUAAAUUUUGGCUAGUGUUAUGUUGGUUUUGAAUGUAUUAAUAUCCCAUCAGGUAUUGCAUAUUCAGCCUCAUCUUAAAUCUAAUCAACUAAUUACAUCAAACGAAAGCAACAUUGGCUGGGCGCAGUGACUCACGCCUGUAAUCCCAGCACUUUGGGAGACCGAGGCGGGCGGAUCACGAGGUCAGGAGUUCGAGAACAGCCUGACCAACAUAGUGAAAUCCCAUCUCUACUAAAAAUACAAAAAAUUAGCCUGGCGUGAUGGCAAGAAACCUGUAAUCCCAGCUACUCCGGAGGCUGAGGCAAGAGAAUCUCCUGAACCCGGGAGGCAGAGUUUGCAGUGAGCCGAGAUCGCGCCAUUGUGCUCUUCAGCCCGGGCGACAGUGCGAGAUUCCGUCUCAAAAAAAAAGCAAUCUUUCCAAACCAGUGCUCUUUCUUUUCUUUCUUUUCUUUUCUUUCUUUUCUUCUUUCUUUUCUUUGCUUUUCUUACUACAAUCUUAUCACCACUACUUUUCUUUUCUUCUUUUGAGACGGAAUUUUGCUCUCCUUGCCCAGGCUGGAGUGCAAUGGUGUGAUCUCGGCUCACCGCAUCCACCUCCAGAGGUGAAACGAUUCUCCUGCCACAGACUCCCGAGUAGCUGAGAUUACAGGCGCCCCCGCCACCACGCCCGGCUAAUUUUUUGUAUUUUUAGUAGAGACGGGGCUUCACCAUGUUGCCCAGGCUGGUCUCGAACUCGCGCGCUGGGAGUACAGGCGCGAGCCACCGCGCUCCGCCCCAGCGCUUUUCUUUUUCAGUACAUUUGUGAGCUGUAUGGCGCCCGGUGCUUUUUUUCUUUUUCUUUUCUAUCUUUCUUUUUUUUUUUUUUUUUUUUUUGAGACGGAGUUGCGCUCUUGUUUUCCAUGCUGGGGUGCAAUGGCGCGAUCUCGGCUCACCGCAACCUCCGCCUCCUGGGUUCAAGCGAUUCUCCUGCCUCAGGCUCCCGAGUAGGGAUUACAGGCAUGCGCCACUACGCCCGGCUAAUUUUGUAUUUUUAGUAGAGACGGGGGUUUCUCCAUGUUGGUCAGGCUGGUCUCGAACUCACGACCUCAGGUGAUCGCCCGCCUCGGCCUUCCAAAGUGUUGGGAUUACAAGCGUGAGCCACCGCACCCGG